Molecule: transfer RNA, 80 nt
Filed under: Chamaesiphon sp.
Lineage: Bacteria; Bacillati; Cyanobacteriota; Cyanophyceae; Gomontiellales; Chamaesiphonaceae
Description: tRNA-Leu
Rfam family: tRNA
About the family: Transfer RNA (tRNA) molecules are approximately 80 nucleotides in length.
Source: RNAcentral
GGGCGACUGGCGGAAUUGGUAGACGCAGUUGACUCAAAAUCAUCCGCGCAAGCGUGUCGGUUCGAGUCCGACGUUGCCCA